RNAcentral lists this ribosomal RNA (755 nucleotides) under uncultured bacterium. Its description in RNAcentral is "bacterial SSU rRNA". It matches the Rfam family "Bacterial small subunit ribosomal RNA", at positions 27 to 800 of the family's 1533-position model. The record is from RNAcentral.
GGACGAACGCUGGCGGCGUGCUUAACACAUGCAAGUCGAGCGAUGAAGCUUCCUUCGGGAAGUGGAUUAGCGGCGGACGGGUGAGUAACACGUGGGUAACCUGCCUCAAAGUGGGGGAUAGCCUUCCGAAAGGAAGAUUAAUACCGCAUAAUAUGAGAGAAUCGCAUGAUUUUCUUAUCAAAGAUUUAUUGCUUUGAGAUGGACCCGCGGCGCAUUAGCUAGUUGGUAAGGUAACGGCUUACCGAGGCAACGAUGCGUAGCCGACCUGAGAGGGUGAUCGGCCACAUUGGAACUGAGACACGGUCCAGACUCCUACGGGAGGCAGCAGUGGGGAAUAUUGCGCAAUGGGGGAAACCCUGACGCAGCAACGCCGCGUGGGUGAUGAAGGUCUUCGGAUUGUAAAGCCCUGUUUUCUGGGACGAUAAUGACGGUACCAGAGGAGGAAGCCACGGCUAACUACGUGCCAGCAGCCGCGAUAAUACGUAGGUGGCGAGCGUUGUCCGGAUUUACUGGGCGUAAAGGGUGCGUAGGCGGAUGUUUAAGUGGGAUGUGAAAUCCCCGGGCUUAACCUGGGGGCUGCAUUCCAAACUGGAUAUCUAGAGUGCAGGAGAGGAAAGCGGAAUUCCUAGUGUAGCGGUGAAAUGCGUAGAGAUUAGGAAGAACACCAGUGGCGAAGGCGGCUUUCUGGACUGUAACUGACGCUGAGGCACGAAAGCGUGGGUAGCAACAGGAUUAGAUACCCUGGUAGUCCACGC